This 504-nucleotide ribosomal RNA is filed under the name uncultured bacterium. RNAcentral's name for it is "partial 16S ribosomal RNA". It matches the Rfam family "Bacterial small subunit ribosomal RNA", at positions 30 to 523 of the family's 1533-position model. The record is from RNAcentral.
AUUGAACGCUGGCGGCAUGCCUAACACAUGCAAGUCGAACGGUAACAGGCCUAGCUUGCUAGGUGCUGACGAGUGGCGAACGGGUGAGUAACGCGUAGGAAUCUGCCUUAUAGUGGGGGAUAACCUGGGGAAACCCAGGCUAAUACCGCAUAAUGCUUAAGAGCUAAAGCGGGGGACUUUCGAGCCACGCGCUAUAAGAUGAGCCUGCGUCAGAUUAGCUAGUUGGUAGGGUAAAGGCCUACCAAGGCGAUGAUCUGUAGCUGGUCUGAGAGGAUGAUCAGCCACACUGGGACGGAGACGCGGCCCAGACUCCUACGGGAGGCAGCAGUGGGGAAUAUUGGACAAUGGGGGCAACCCUGAUUCAGCAAUGCCGCGUGUGUGAAGAAGGCCUUCGGGUUGUAAAGCACUUUCAGAGGGGAGGAAGGCUUCGUUGCGAAUAACAACGAAGAUUGACGCUACCCUCAGAAGAAGCACCGGCUAACUCUGUGCCAGCAGCCGCAGUAA